RNAcentral lists this ribosomal RNA (495 nucleotides) under uncultured bacterium. Its description in RNAcentral is "partial 16S ribosomal RNA". It matches the Rfam family "Bacterial small subunit ribosomal RNA", at positions 28 to 507 of the family's 1533-position model. The record is from RNAcentral.
GACGAACGCUGGCGGCGUGCCUAAUACAUGCAAGUAGAACGCUGAAGGAGGAGCUUGCUUCUCUGGAUGAGUUGCGAACGGGUGAGUAACGCGUAGGUAACCUGCCUGGUAGCGGGGGAUAACUAUUGGAAACGAUAGCUAAUACCGCAUAAUAGCAGUUGUUGCAUGACAACUGUUUGAAAGGUGCAAAUGCAUCACUACCAGAUGGACCUGCGUUGUAUUAGCUAGUUGGUGGGGUAAAGGCUCACCAAGGCGACGAUACAUAGCCGACCUGAGAGGGUGAUCGGCCACACUGGGACUGGGACACGGCCCAGACUCCUACGGGAGGCAGCAGUAGGGAAUCUUCGGCAAUGGACGGAAGUCUGACCGAGCAACGCCGCGUGAGUGAAGAAGGUUUUCGGAUCGUAAAGCUCUGUUGUAAGAGAAGAACGAGUGUGAGAGUGGAAAGUUCACACUGUGACGGUAUCUUACCAGAAAGGGACGGCUAACUACGUG